This 97-nucleotide transfer RNA is filed under the name Pseudomonas aeruginosa. Its description in RNAcentral is "tRNA-???(tcaa)". It matches the Rfam family "Selenocysteine transfer RNA". Lineage: Bacteria; Pseudomonadati; Pseudomonadota; Gammaproteobacteria; Pseudomonadales; Pseudomonadaceae. The record is from RNAcentral.
GGAAGGCAAUCACGCCCGGUGGCGUGGCCGGACUUCAAAAUCCGGUGGGGGACGGCAGCCGUUCCUGGGUGGGUUCGACUCCCACUGCCUUCCGCCA